GAAAUGCGAUAAGUAAUGUGAAUUGCAGAAUUCAGUGAAUCAUCGAAUCUUUGAACGCACAUUGCGCCCGCCAGUAUUCUGGCGGGCAUGCCUGUUCGAGCGUCAUUACAACCCUCAGGCCCCCGGGCCUGGCGUUGGGGAUCGGCGGAAGCCCCCUGCGGGCACAACGCCGUCCCCCAAAUACAGUGGCGGUCCCGCCGCAGCUUCCAUUGCGUAGUAGCUAACACCUCGCAACUGGAGAGCGGCGCGGCCACGCCCUAAAACACCCAACUUCUGAAUGUUGACCUCGAAUCAGGUAGGAAUACCCGCUGAACUUAAGC
Molecule: unclassified non-coding RNA, 320 nt
Filed under: plant metagenome
Description: partial contains 5.8S ribosomal RNA, internal transcribed spacer 2, and large subunit ribosomal RNA
Rfam family: 5.8S ribosomal RNA (bases 1-105)
Source: RNAcentral